Molecule: ribosomal RNA, 308 nt
Filed under: uncultured bacterium
Lineage: Bacteria
Description: bacterial SSU rRNA
Rfam family: Bacterial small subunit ribosomal RNA
Source: RNAcentral
GUAAGCGUAUCGCUGAGGGAUGGGCCUGCGGGCCAUUAGCUUGUUGGUGAGGUAACGCUCACCAAGGCUGUGAUGGCUAGCUGGUCUGAGAGGAUGACCAGCCACACUGGGACUGAGACACGGCCCAGACUCCUACGGGAGGCAGCAGUGGGAAUAUUGCGCAAUGGGCGAAAGCCUGACGCAGCGACGCCGCGUGGGUGAUGAAGGCCUUCGGGUCGUAAAGCCCUGUCGCAGGGGAAGAAUAAGCAUCGGUAUAAUACGCCGGUGCCCUGACGGUACCCUGCAAGAAAGCACCGGCUAACUCCGUG